GAGUUUGAUCCUGGCUCAGAUUGAACGCUGGCGGCAUGCCUUACACAUGCAAGUCGAACGGCAGCAUGAUCUAGCUUGCUAGAUUGAUGGCGAGUGGCGAACGGGUGAGUAAUACAUCGGAACGUGCCCUGUAGUGGGGGAUAACUAGUCGAAAGAUUAGCUAAUACCGCAUACGACCUGAGGGUGAAAGUGGGGGACCGCAAGGCCUCAUGCUAUAGGAGCGGCCGAUGUYUGAUUAGCUAGUUGGUGGGGUAAAGGCCCACCAAGGCGACGAUCAGUAGCUGGUYUGAGAGGACGAUCAGCCACACUGGGACUGAGACACGGCCCAGACUCCUACGGGAGGCAGCAGUGGGGAAUUUUGGACAAUGGGCGAAAGCCUGAUCCAGCAAUGCCGCGUGUGUGAAGAAGGCCUUMGGGKUGUAAAGCACUUUUGUCCGGAAAGAAAUGGCCUCUGGUUAAUACCUGGGGUCGAUGAACCGGUACCGGAAGGAUUUGG
Molecule: ribosomal RNA, 496 nt
Filed under: uncultured beta proteobacterium
Lineage: Bacteria; Pseudomonadati; Pseudomonadota; Betaproteobacteria
Description: bacterial SSU rRNA
Source: RNAcentral